UUAAAAAGACAGAAUCAAGUACUAUCACCCAAAAAAAAAAAUGUAUUAGCUAAAAUGGAAAAUAUUUGAAGCAAAUGGGCACCUUUCGUUGUGGGCUGGUUUCUCGGACCAGUUUACUUUUUCUAAUCCAUAAACAUUUUGUGGGCACAACGCACAAAGUCGAUCGCCGGUUCAAAACAGCAUAGGGGUUACAUUCUGUGAUGGUUGAUGCUUUCUGGGUAUCGGCAUCAUCGGCUCAACGCUCGCGAGUCGGCCCUCUUCAGGCUUCAGCUUCCUCACACGAUGGGUUCUCUCUUGCUCUGCUAAUAUGCUCCUUCCUUACACCUUUAGAGCUUCUCAUGCUCAUGCAAUUGCAUUCGAAGUUCCAACUUAACUGCAGGUGGCAGCCUCUUGAGAUGGAGUAACACGUUCUGCUUGGGCCUUGUACCACUAGAGGAAAGGAAUUUGAUCUGCAUUAAUGAAGUAAGAUUGGUGUUUAUUUGACAAAUAUUUCACCUACCUUAUGAAGCCAAUGUGACAUCACUCUGAGAUGAUUUCUCUAAGGUCCAGUUUCCUUGAUCCCAAAAUUCUUUGAAAUCUUAGCCAUUAUGGGAAACAGGGAUAUGACUCUCCAUUUUCUAAAAUUCUAGACAAAGAUACAGGUACAGUUAUCCCAUGUAAUGUGCUUAUAUCAUGUGUUUAUAUCUAGCUUUUGAAGCAAAAUGUCAUUUCUCAAGACUAUGGCUUUCCAAAUUUAAUUAAAUUUCUGACAUGUGCUCAUAUUUUUAUAGCAUAAUUUGUUAAUAUACUACUUUACAUAUUUUAACGGUGGUAAUGCUAUUGAGUACUUCAAAAAUAUCCAUGCAAUAUCCAGUAUUGUAUCUGAUAAGUAUCUGGUACACUAGGCAUGUACAGGUAUUAGGGUAUCAUAGAAUCUUUAGUGUUUUUUCUGAGAUUCCUGGUCUUGCUUCACCCAAAUUUAGAUAUUAGUUGGAUAAUGGGUGCAGAAUUUUGGUUUUUUCAAAGUCAUUAAUUUUUUUUUUGUUUUUUUCUUAGUAUUGACAUGAUAAAAAAACCAUGGUAAUCUCAAUGUUAUUUCCUUUAUGUUCUCAUAGGUUAGAAUCAGAUGCAUCAAACUUGUUAUUAUGCUGAUGUUGAUACAUUGGAUAAAAAAAUUCAAAAAUAGGUACAAAUUUUGAAUUGCUUACUAACACCCAAAGAAAAAGGGAAAUAAAAGAAAGAAGAGAAAAUUCUAUGCAUGCACUUGUCAUUACAUAUUAUGAUAAAAGCUUUAAGCUCCUGUAUUAAUGUAACUUGAAAUGUUGACAACAUGAUAAAUUCCUACUUACAUGUGUCAGAUUGUUCAGACUGUGAUAAGUUUUGAAUUGUGUGUUUUCUUCUCUGUAUUUUAAAUGUAAGUAUUAUGUAUGGUUUUUAUGCAUAAAAUCCAUGUUAAAGAGCCUUGGUUUGGGUAUAUGCAUAGAAAUCCAAUCUUUCUCAACAACUCAUUAGAGCGUUGUUCCAUUAGAGGGCACAACAAGAAUUCUGUUUCACCACUCCACUCUAAUAAUAAUGUCAUAUUUUCAUAACUGUAAGAACCAGAUCUGUUUAUCCAAAAUCCUUUUCAUAAUAAAUUAAAGAGAAUAUAAUUAAAAUAUAAAAAAUAUUAUAUCAUAAAGUAAAAGUUUAUAAGGAUCAGGUCAGAAAAUCAAAUAGAUGGAAGAUAAUUGAGGUUGUUAGUUUGGAAGUGUGAUCAAUUGUCAUUUCUCUUGGUAUUCUUGUUGUUUCCUCUUUAAUUGUAAUUUGUAAUUAAGAUGUGUUGUUUGUGGGGUUAAGGUUUGCUAUAUAAGAGCACCAAGGAUUUUUUUAAGCAUUUUUCUCAAUACUCCUUUAUGUUCUAUCUUUUAAGAUAUUUUUUUUUGUAAAAACUAUAGUAAGAAUGUUGAUAUCACUCAAAGUAGAAACUUAAGAAGAUGAAAAGCACACACAUCUUCAAAAUUUGGAUGGGCCAUCACCCAAUGCAAAAUAAGAUUUCCAAUAUCAGCAUAUGCCUUUUGCUCCCAUGCUUUUUAUCAAAAUUCUUCUCUCUCUCUCUCUAAAUUCCCAACACACUGAAGAGUGCCCCGAAAAAGUGUUACCUUCUUAUUACCUAAAAAAAUGGCCAAGCAAAGAAUAAAUACCUCCUGGGGAUGAAUAGGCCUGAAAACUGGUUUUCUAAACAGAGAAAAGAAUUAGUUAAAAAUAAAUUCAGCAAUUUUGCAAGAUAUCAAUAUAUGUACAACAUCUUUUCUAUUAUUGCACAUAAAACAAAAAAUUGUUCCUCAACCGUUUACUUUUUAAAUGAUAAAUGGUUCGACCAAAAAUCUUGGGUUGCAUGGACUCACUAAGAUGGGUCAACCAACUGGGUAUGGAUAUGGGUACAUAGGCACACUGCACAUUGGACAUAAAGUCUUUAAUUUCCGGUUAGGCAAGCAUGCUAUAUUUAAAACUAUGCUAAGUAGAAACUUCAAAAUCCUUCUAUAAUGUGUUGACUUCUGGGACAACUAACUCCCCUUCCCCUCAUAGGAAGAUUUGGCUUUCUGCUGUCCCCCCCUAGAAUUUGCUUCUUUGUUUGGGAGGCUUCUUGUGGCAGCAUUGAUACUUGUGAUAUGAUUUUAAGAAAGAGAAAAGGACACCUUUAUGUGGCUCCUCAUAUCUGUUGUAUAUGUGUAUGAAAGAUGGGGAGUCUUGUGGCCACCUUCUGAUUAAUUGUGGAAGUAGCCAGAAGCCUGUGGCAAUUCUUUUUGGACACCUUCUACAGAGGCAGAUUUCACUGGACCCCUCCUAACUCAGUGUCUGACCUUCUUUUACAAUGGCCUGGAUGUACGUCAAAUAAAAGAGGUGCUCUCUACGGAAAGGCGAUCAUGCAUGCAGUUUUCCGGUGCAUUUGGGAGGAGUGCAACAAAAGAAUUUUUUACGAUAAAAUACUCUUCCCUGGAUGAGUUAAAAGGAAGGGUGCUUUUUCGCAUUAACUCCUGGAUGAAGGUUUCUAGUAUGUCCAGGGGCAUUUCUAUGGGAGACGUAGAAAGAAAUUUGGGGCUGGUUCUGAGUUCCUCAAGUUUAGAUAGAGCUCACACAGUUCCUGUGACCCCGAAACCCCCUACAGAUUUUGUUCUCCAGUUUGAUGGUAGUUGCUUGAGUAGACUUAACCACAGAGGUCAGGCAGGAAUAGGUGGCAGAAUUCUCAUUUCAUUAGGCACUCAAUUUUGGGCCUAUAGUGGACCCAUUGAAGAGGCUGAAGCUGUUGAAGCUGAGGUGCAGGCCUUGCUGAUGGGGCUGAGGUGCGUAAAAUCCCUGAAUAUUUCUUCAGUGGUGGUGGAAGGAGAUUCAAAGGUGGUAAUAAGCUGGAUGUUAAAUCAGCAGGAGGGACCUUGGAGAUUCUCUCAUCAAAUCAAUGAAAUCAGGGUUAUCCAAUUGCAGCUUCACUGUGUCUUCAGGUGGAUUCCAAGGAAUUUGAACUCAAUAGCAGAUGCUCUUGCUAAAUCUGGGGUGGGCAGGGAUUUUUGGUACAGCAAUAUAGAGCUUCCUUUUUAAUGAGUAGGGAAGGCUUUUUGGUUUUUGUUUAGUUCCUGAUUGAUGUAUCUCUUAUAUAUCCUGUAUAUCCCUCCCCUUUCUUUUAAUGAAAGUUACCUUUUCUCAAAAAAAAAAGGCAUUGUACCUCUGCCUAACAUAUAUUUAAUCUGUGUUUUACGCUAUUAAUAUCCAAUAUAAGAAGCAUCAGCAAUAAAAGAGGAGCAACAAAAAAGCUAGUACUCAAAAGUAAUAAUUAUGCACAAGAAAUCUAUAGUGUCAGGUUAAAGAGACACCUGAUCACACAUUGGAUGUAUUCAAGUUUCAAUUUAUAAAACAGAAAUGCUAAUCGUACACACCCAUGGAGCGUUUAGCCCUUACAACACCUUCUAAAUAAGAUGUUGUCUUCUCUAGUUCAACAAUACCAAGGACUCCCUCACCCCCCCUUUCCAGGCAUGACAGGUGUCUUAUGUAGGGGGUGUUGUAAGUGCUACACAAUCAUAAAGCGUGUGAUAUUAGUAUUCCACUUUCUAAAAUGCAGCAGAUUCUAACAUUGUAAGUAUUUGUAUUUGGUGAGUAUCAAAAUGAAGGAGCCAGUACCUGUGUCUCAGUGUCUAAUACUGAACAGAAUCUGAUACAUCAUCUUGAGAAAAACUGAAUUGCAGAUAUGGUUGAUUGCAUACAUUGGAAAUAUCAGAAAUUUUUAUAACAUAACUUAAGAAUGCAAAUAGGAUCAGAUUAUUUAUGUGCAAAAAAAUUAUAUGCAUGGUAUAAAAGUCAGUUGAAAAUCAACUAACAUAUAGAAAAAAAAUAAGUUUUUUUUGUCUAUUAUGUCAACCUACGAAAACCUGAAUUGCAGUUACAGUUACAGUUAUUUCAACCUAAGAAAACCUGAACUGCAAAAUUUGAGAUUAAGGAGAUGGGGUGAGAAUCCAGAAACAAUAUCCAGACCUAUGGGACUUCUAUUGGAAGGGUAUUGAAAAGGUUUAUCCAGCGUCUAAUAGGGGAAUUUAGUAUAAGGUUUGUAAAGGGGAUAGAAUUGGAUUUUGGAUUGACAGGUAGUGCAGCCUGUGACCUAGUGUUCUAAUUGCAGAAGAAACUUAAAUGAUUGGAAAAUGGAGCAGAUGGUGGAGCUCUUAAAAGAAUUCAGAGCAUUUCACCAGAAGUGGGACACCUGGAUUCGAGUAGAUGGUGGUGGGAGAAAAGUGGGGCUUUCAUUGUAAAGUCAUUCUACAAUAAUCUCUUUCAAGAGGUAAACUAUGAGUUUCCAGCAAAUAGAAUUUGUUCUUCUGGUGCUACUUCAAAGAUCAAGUUUAUUGUCUGGACUGCAGUACUAGGAAAAUGCUUAUCUCAUGACAAACUCUUAAGCAGGGGAAUGAUGUGGAUUAGGUGGGAUGUGUAUUUUGCACAAAGAUGCUGGAAUCUGCAAAUGACAUUUUUUUCAUUGCCCACAUGCAACAGAAGUGUGGAGGACUGUUCUGAAUACUUUCGGGUGGAAUGGGUGCUUCCCUCAGUCCAUUCAAGGUUUUCUUUUGGGUUGGCAGAUCCAUGGUUUGAGCAAAAGGGGAGGGUGAUAUGGGGGUUGAUUACAUUGGCAGUGUUUUGGUGCAUAUGGAAGGAUAGAAAUGCUGUGACAUUUGAAAAAUCCAGCAAGUAUUCCUUCAGAUUUGAUAGGGAGUAUCAAAAGGAAGCUUUGGUGUGCAGCGAAUAAGAAGUUUAGAGGCCUGGCUUAUAAUCAGUUUUUUGACAGUCUUAUGCAGAUCUGACAAGGAUGUUUUGAUCAAAAGAUAUCUUGCUAACAGAAUUGUAAAGGUUGAUGUACAGAAUGAAAAUACAUGGCAUACAUGUAUAGAAGGAUUGUAAAAGUUUAACUUUCUUUUUGGUUAUUAAUACAAUACAUUACUUUUUUCAAAAAAAAAAAAGAACAAAGGAUAUUCAGAAAAUUAAAUAUUUGUAUAGAUUAAAGCAUCAGGAUGUGUCUGGCAUGCAAGUAUGGAAUGGUACAUAGACAGAGUUCAAGAAAUGUUGCUCCUUACAUAGAUAACAACUAGAUAUUUUGAAAUAUUUCAGUCUUCAGUGGCAUUUGAUGGACUAGUGAAACAGCCAAAAGUUUCCAGAUGCAAACUGCAGUAUUCAAUCAAAUAAUCUAAUCUAAUAAGUUAUCCAGCUUUAACAAUUCUUUGAAGUGGAGGUUUCAAAUUAAAUUAUUUUUUCCAGAUUGUUUUGAUUUUUGUGCUCUGUAUGUAUGAUGAUGGAUUUAUAGGUUAUACUAUCUGAUACAGCAUUGAGUGAUUAGUUAAGGGCUUUCCCACCCUUAAAAAUAUGAAAUAGAGAGGUAUUAAAUGACAUUUUUUUUUAUAUCUUUGAGAUGCUACUUAAGUGUUAAAAUGUAGAAGCUUAACUAAAACAUAGGAGGUGAUCCAAAAUCUCUCAUUGAGAACUAUUCUGUGUGUUGGAAAUACAAGUUCAUGAUUCUGUUUGAAUAACCAUUGCUUUGUGGAAGGGUAUAUAGAUGUAAGAGUGUCUUUGGCAUUCUCAUUGAGAGAGACAAGACAACAUAUGUAUUUAGUGAUGGGUCAUGGCAUGUCAUUACUGAACUUUAAUUUUUAUGUGAAAAGGUCAGUUGCUGCAAGAAAGGGUUGUUGCCCAACAUGCUGAGAACAAGGGUACCUCACUACUGAGAUUUCUGUAGUUCUUAUUAUAUGGGUUCUGACCCUUAACCUUAUAAUCUUCAAUUUUAUUGUCAAAACAAAAUGGUUUGGGCAUGAUUGGGCAUUAUGUGCCAUUAAUAGCUCUUUAAUUCAGGAUAUAACCUAGCAUCAGAUCAUCUUUGACCACAACCAUUAAUGGCAGUACUAUAGGGGCUGGAAAUUGAACUGCUCGUAUAAAUCACUCCAUUAUCUUUUAUCAUUCUUUAUGGAGUGUCUUCACAUGUUU
Non-coding RNA from Nelumbo nucifera (sacred lotus), 6465 nucleotides. The record is from RefSeq and is a predicted model, not a curated record. Lineage: Eukaryota; Viridiplantae; Streptophyta; Magnoliopsida; Proteales; Nelumbonaceae.